This 1816-nucleotide long non-coding RNA is filed under the name Oryctolagus cuniculus (rabbit). Its description in RNAcentral is "lncRNA (ENSOCUG00000035238.1)". The record is from RNAcentral. Lineage: Eukaryota; Metazoa; Chordata; Mammalia; Lagomorpha; Leporidae.
UUUGGAUUCAUGGCUGCAGAACCCUCUGCUACCAAGGGCUGACUACGCUUACAUUCUCCCCUGCUCAUCUUGACACAUACGGUACUUUGAGAGGUAGUACAGUUCUUAGCUCAGUUGUCACUUUAACAACUGCAUAAGGUGGAGAUUUCGUCUCACUGGACCAUGGCAGAGGGUUGAAGGUUAGCCCCAUGGUCAGAUGAAAAAACCAGAGUCCACAGACCACCGUGUCCUGAACAAUGUGCACACUUUGCUGGGUGACACCUGAUUCUGUUACUAAUCCAGAGACAUAUGUAGGUUCAGGGGAUCUAAUUAAUUAUCUCUGAUGUGCUUGUCAUAGUCUACUGUAUACAUUAAUAACUCAUUGUACAAAGACUCAAAGAUGAAUGCCUUCUCUGUGUCUGUGAUCCUCAUUGCAUCCUUUAGGCAGGAUUCCAGAGCACUCCCAGAAGUGGGCGCUCUUCCUGCGGAAGAUUCUCAUCCGUGGAGUCGUUGCUCCUCACGAGGGCGGGGAGCCCUCUGCUCUCCAGGGAGAGACGUGGAAGUCCACCACAGAUCCCCAUGAGCACCCCCAAGAAGUUAUUGUAUUCAGAGGAGAUGUGGUGCACUAGUGGCAUGGACGUCAUUGGUUCAGCGACAGGAGAAGCACGCGCGCUCCUGAGCCCGGCAGCUGCUUUCUUGGAACGCACGGUGAGGCGGAAAAGCAGUGGCCCCUCCAUAAAGCAUGAGCACGGGUGGCCCUUCAGAUGCUCACGACACAGAUGCCGAGAACGUGGGGACUGGAGACACGGAAGUGUCAAGGGGGGAAAAGUGAUGUAAUCUGUAAGGUUUUUUUAAAAAAAGAAACUGCUAAAGUUGCAGUAUAAAGUAAAGUAUAAUGUUCUGUAUCUGGUAAAAUGGCCAUUUUUCCACUCAAUUAUUAUUUAUAGCCAUUGUCUAUGUUCCCACUAUACUAGGGUCUUUAUGCUUUUUACUUGUUAAAUUUCUUAUUCAGUGAAGCAUUAAGCCUUUUUAAUGUAAUGUAAAUUGAAAAUAUGUUAUCUCAAAGACUAAAGAGGGAAAGGGAGAAGGAGGGAGGGAGAGAGGAGGGACUAUCAUUAUAUUCUUAGAAUUGUUUCUAUGAACUGUAUUGAAUCUUAAAAACUACUGGAAAAAUUGAAAACCUGACAUCUUAAAAGUAAAAAAAAAGAUUUUGAAAGAACAAAGGAUUUUUAGUGCAAAAACAUUAAAUAUAAAAAUAGUAUAAAAUUAAGCAAAGUGAGAUUUUAUGAAUAAGAAAAUGAGACUCUAAUUUAUUAAGUUGAAAGACUGAAAACUAGAUAUUGGACCAGCCUGGCCUCCCUGUGGGCUCUGUGGAAGGAGCCGGGGAGUCGGCCGGGGCACGUCCACCACUGCAAGCCCUGAGGACAAGCCCCUCACAGAGGUGCUGUCUUAGCCUUUGCCUCCCCACAGAUUUCCGUGGGAGUGGACAUGGCAGGCCCCGCCCAGCCUCCUCACUCUCACCAGAGUGGCCGUGGAGAAGCGCCCCCUGUACCUCUUGCCCAAGACACUGCACGGUGCAUACAGGCUGCGCCUGGCCUCAAACACAGGUAUCCAGGUGACUUCUUAUAAAAUGUCUAUAUUUAUUUAUUCUUACGCAAAAGACAGUGAGACAGAUAGAGAGAUGGGAACUUUGCGUCAUGGGUUCACUCUCCAGUAUACUCACUAAGAGCCAGGGCAGGGCCAGGCUGAAGUAAGGAGCUAGGAGCUCAAAUCAGUUUCCCAGGUUGGGGGCAGGAACCCGACUAUUUCAGCCGUCACCUGUUGCCCCUCAGGUGUG